UAGUCUCGCACAGAUGCAUAUCAAUAAGCGGAGGAAAAGAAACUAACAAGGAUUCCCUCAGUAACGGCGAGUGAAGCGGGAAGAGCUCAAAUUUGAAAUCUUGAAAGGUCACCUUUCACGAAUUGUAGUUUAAAGAAGUGUUUUCUGUUACGAUCGUAAUAUAAGUUCUUUGGAAUAGGACAUCAUAGAGGGUGAGAAUCCCGUAUAUUGACCAUUGGAUUUGUCAGCUUUGUGAUACACUUUCAAAGAGUCGGAUUGUUUGGGAAUGCAGUCCAAAAUGGGAUGGUAAAUUUCAUUCUAAGGCUAAAUAUUGGCGAGAGACCGAUAGCGAACAAGUACCGUGAGGGAAAGAUGAAAAGAACUUUGAAAAGAGAGUUAAAUAGUACGUGAAAUUGUCAAAAGGGAAGCGUUUAACACCAGUGUUGUUUUCUGAAAAUCAACCUCUGUUAGCUUUAUGCAUGUUUGUUUAGACCUAAUCAGCUAUCUUGCAUGUUCUAUUGUUUGCAGUGGUGCACUUUUCAGUUUACAGGUCAACAUCAGUUUUUUUUACCGUAAAAAAGUUAAAGAAAGGUAGCUCAUGGCUCCGGUCGUGAGUGUUAUAGUCUUUUUCCUAUGCGGUAGGAGAGACUGAGGUCUGCAGUGUAGGCUAUUUGGCUAGAUACUCAGGUGCUAUGUGAUACCAUUUCAUAAACAACUUGUUGAUUAUGUUUUGUCUAUUGCAUACUCGCUUGUACUAUCAUACCUACGCUUAGGAUGUUGAAGAUGUAGCACAUCAU
RNAcentral lists this ribosomal RNA (776 nucleotides) under uncultured Neocallimastigales. RNAcentral describes it as "partial large subunit ribosomal RNA". It matches the Rfam family "Eukaryotic large subunit ribosomal RNA", at positions 24 to 635 of the family's 3401-position model. The record is from RNAcentral. Lineage: Eukaryota; Fungi; Neocallimastigomycota; Neocallimastigomycetes; Neocallimastigales.